AACGGAGCCUAAAAUUAAAUAUAGAAAAUGCUACGGGUCACCGGCCGCGCCUACCUCUUCAAAUCGCCUCACGAAAAUCCCCAACCAGACGCAUCCCAAAGACCCAAACCCAAGCGCCGCCACUGCCAGCCAUGUCGUCUCGCUUCCACCACGGCGGCGGCGACGACCACCGCGUGGGCGACGCGGGCGACGCCGCCCUCGCCCGCGACAUCGUCACGCUCCACAAGGCGCUCUCCCUCGACCCUUCCACCCACCGCCGCCGCACCCUACCACUCCCCUCCCCAUCCCCCGUCGUCACUGAGCAGCCGCGUAACAAGCCCCGUCUCAAGCCCUCCUCCUCCUCGUCGUCGUCGCGUAAGCUCCUGCCGUCCACCCCUAACUCCUCCUCCGCUUCCACUUCCUCGUCCUCGUCUUCCUUCUGGAAGAAGUCCCUGACUGCCAUUUCGCACCUGGGCCGCCGCCGCCUCGACUUCGCGUUCGCGCUGCAUGUGCACUCCGUCAACGGCCUCCCCGCUGCGCUCGAUGGGUCUGCGGUCUCCGUACGCUUCCGCCGAAUGUCCGUGUCCGCCUCCACCCGCCCCGUCGUGGCGGCCCUCGGCGCCGCCGCGUUCGAGGAGGCGCUCACGCUGCGGUCCCCGGUCUACUUCUCCCGCGGCGCAAAGGCCGUGGUCAAGUACGAGCCCCGUUCCUUUGUUGUCUCCGUCGCCGCCUCCACUCUCGAGCUUGGUAAGCACGAGGUCGACCUCACCCGCUUGCUCCCGCUCUCGUUCGACGAUCUCGAGGACGGCGGCGACUCCGGCUUCGGGAAGUGGAGCAGCAGCUUCCGGCUGUCCGGCCCCGCCCGCGGCGCGCGGCUUAACGUAACCUUCUCUUGCUCGCUCCUCGCGGGUGGCGUCGGCAGCGAGCAGCACAAGGCCGUGGAAGUGGCGGGGGUGCGGCGCGGAUCGAUGGCGCGGCCGGUGUCAGUGCAGGCACCAACGCCUGUGCCCGCGCGGAGCAGGGACGUGAGGGUGCUGCACGAGGUGCUGCCCAGCUUGAGGUCUGCCAGGUCGCUGCCUUUUGUUGGUGAUGGGGGUCUUGAUGCGAGGAAGGAGGAGGUGGCAGCACUGGACUGCAUGGAGGACGGGUCUCCGGAGGCAAAGCACUGCACAUCAGUAGAGGUUAAGAAGGGGGACUUGGUGCGCCCAGAUGGGGAUUGCAGCACGAUGGAGUUCAAUGUUGUUGGGCAUGGAGUUGAGGUUGCUUCAUAUGACCCACAAAGGCUCAAACAUGUGGAAACCAGCAAUGAGGCUGAUCAAAAUGAGGAUCCAGGGUUCAAAAUUGACGAAGAGGUAUCAUUCAAGCCUGUGCUAGUAUGUGGUGAUGUCGCUGAGGAUCAGACUGUUGGAGUGAAGACUGAGGUGGCAGUCUGUGAUGUUGCUGUUCAAAGGGAGAAUGUGGAAGACAAACAUGAUGGAAUAAUCAAAGCCAAUUCACUGCCUACCUCUGCUCUCGAAGCAGAGGAUCAGUUGGGAGCAGAUGUAGAACUGGAGGACCUGGAAUGUAUUUUGAACGAGCUCUUAGUUGCUAAGCCGGAGGAAUUUGAAUCACCAGUAGUAGAAGAUAAGUAUUCUAGGCGAUUGAGUUGCACAGCUGAUAGUUACAAGUCUGACAGUAGGAAGGGCAGAUCACGCAGCAUGGAUAUUUCAACAGAUUCUGUUGCUAAUGAGUUCUUGGAUAUGCUUGCAAUAGAGCAUAUCCCAUUUGGGCAACCCUCAGAUAGUGAUCCCGAGUCACCGAGGGAACGACUUUGGAAGCAGUUUGAAAAGGAAGCACUAGCAUCUGACAAAGCUAUUCUUGGUUUGGACUUUGAUGAUGGAAUUGAAGGACCUAUUUGUGAGAAUGUUGUGGAGGAUUUCGAUCUCUCUGCAAUGAUACAUGAGGCUGAGCUCGAGCUUCAGAAUGGAAGUCAACCCAUUGAUACCAAAUUUCGAGCUAAGUCGCUGGAAGACGAAGAAACUGAGGCCUUAAUGCGUCAAUUUGGGCUAAAUGAGAAGUCCUUCCAAUCUUCUCCUCCUGAAAGUAGAAGUGGGUUUGGUAGCCCCAUUAACCUCCCACCUGAGCAACCCCUGGAGCUACCACCAUUGGCUGAAGGUUUAGGUCCAUUUAUUCAGACCAAAGAUGGAGGAUUUCUGCGAUCAAUGAACCCAGCCCUGUUCAAAAAUGCACAAAACAGCUGCAGCUUGGUUAUGCAGGCUUCUUCCCCGAUUGUACUGCCGGCAGAGAUGGGAUCUGGGAUUAUGGAUAUAUUGCAUGGUCUGGCAUCAGUUGGAAUUGAGAAGUUAUCAAUGCAGGCAAACAAACUUAUGCCCCUAGAAGAUGUUAAUGGUAAAAUGAUGCAGCAGAUUGCCUGGGAGGCUGCUCCAGCUCUGGAGUCUGCUGAAAGAUAUGACCCGUUGGACUAUCAUAGCGUUGAUGCUUUGGUAGGAGGGGGUGGAAAUGCUCCCUCCAGUAAGAAGAAGAAAUGUAGGUGUGCUGAUCUUUCAUCAUCCUUGGGUGGGGAGAAUGCUUCAGAAUAUGUUUCACUUGAGGACCUUGCACCAUUAGCUAUGGAAAAGAUUGAAGCCCUUUCCAUUGAGGGUUUGAGGAUACAAUCUGGCAUGUCAGAAGAAGAGGCACCCUCCAAUAUCAGUGCAAAGCCUAUUGGGGAAUUUUCAUCUCUGCAAGGAAAGUGUGCAGAGAAUACCUGGUCCCUUGGUUUAGAGGGAACUGCAGGGUUGCAGCUUCUGGAUGUUAAGCAGAGUGGAGAAGAAGUUGAUGGAUUAAUGGGCUUAUCCAUCACUCUAGAUGAGUGGAUGAGGCUUGAUUCUGGGGUGGUGGACGAAGAAGAGCAAUACAGUGACCGGACAUCAAAGAUACUUGCUGCUCACCAUGCAAAAUCCAUGGAGUUAGCUGCUGAGAAUCGGAAUGGGGACAGAAAGAACAGGAGAUCUGGUAGAAGAUGGGGCCUGUUAGGAAAUAACUUUACAGUUGCUCUCAUGGUUCAACUCCGUGACCCACUGCGCAACUACGAGCCAGUGGGCACACCAAUGCUUGCAUUAAUUCAAGUUGAAAGGGUUUUUGUACCCCCAAAGCCCAAAAUCUACAGUACUGUCUCAGACAAAGGCAACAGCGAGCAGGAUGAUGAGGAACCCAAGACCGAAAAGGUUCCAGAUAAGGCAUUGGUCACGGAAGAGAAGGCUGAGGAAUUAGAGGAUCCCAUUCCCCAAUUCAAGGUUACAGAAGUGCAUGUCGCUGGUUUCAAGAGCGAACCUGAGAAGAAGAAACCAUGGGGCAAUCAAACGCAGCAGCAGUCUGGCUCUAGAUGGUUGCUUGCAGCUGGAAUGGGCAAGGGAAACAAGCAUCCUCUGAUGAAAUCCAAAGCUAUAGUGAAGCCAACCAAAGAGGCAGCUGGUCAGGCAGGAGACAUCCUCUGGAGCAUUUCUUCACGUGUUCAUGGAGCCGGGACCAGGUGGGGCGAGCUAACAGGAAGCAAGAGUCAUUCACGGAACCCAAAUAUCAUGCUUCAAAAGGACAAGAGAUUUCGGUGAUGGCUUGGUGGUCAGUAGUUAGCGCUGGGAAGGACGGACGGUUGGUCUAUCUCAUUAGAAAGGGGACGUAGCAAUUGGAAUGUCCUUGGUGGAUUGUGAAACCAUGUACAUUGAGUUCUCUUGCAUAGGAUCAGUACUUUUUAUAUGCUGCACAGUUCGUGAUCGGUGUUCCUUCCGAACUCUCGUGAGAACCGUGCAUAGAAACUGUUGUUUCUUUUGCCACAUUUAAGAGCAGCUUCUGCCUCUGAAGGUCACCACCUUGUACAGAUUUGCAGCGCUGGGCAGAGGUCAGUGCGGCAGCGUUGACGCCCCGUGGCUGUGAUGAUUCUAUCUACGAGGGUCCCCAUGAUCCAUAAAAAGCUUCGUUGGUUGGACGCAAGCUUUGUCUAAGGAAUUUGCGGGUCGUGUCUCGAUCGACAGCUCAUCAAACCAUCAUUCGGCACAGGGACAAAAGAAAAAAUGGAUGGAAUCUGUUCUCGUGAUAGCCUCCCCCGUCUCGUUCUACACUUCUACUCAUGCAUGCCAUUUCGUCCGGCUUUGUCGCAAGCCCAGCUGCCGAGAUCAAACUAGGGCUGGAAACGAGUCGAGCUCGGCUCGGUGUGGCUCGGUGCCUGAAUGAGCUCGGCUCGGCUCGUCCAUUCCACGAGCCGGUGAAAGAGGCUCGGCUCGCGAGCCAUAUUUUGGUGCUUUUCGUUGCAUUAUUUGGUGAAUUAACAUUAUAUAAAUUUGAAAUAUAGAAUCACCAUUCUACA
RNA transcript from Zea mays, 4321 nucleotides. It is a transcript of the gene named Protein PLASTID MOVEMENT IMPAIRED 1-RELATED 1, with no coding region annotated. The transcript has 3 exons. NCBI's taxonomy places the organism in Eukaryota, Viridiplantae, Streptophyta, Magnoliopsida, Poales, Poaceae. The record is from RefSeq and is a predicted model, not a curated record.